UACGGGGGGAGCAAGCGUUGUUCGGAUUUACUGGGCGUAAAGGGCUCGUAGGCGGCCAACUAAGUCGGACGUGAAAUCCCCAGGCUCAACCUGGGAACUGCGUCCGAUACUGGAUGGCUUGAAUCCGGGAGAGGGAUGCAGAAUUCCAGGUGUAGCGGUGAAAUGCGUAGAUAUCUGGAGGAAUACCGGUGGCGAAGGCGGCAUCCUGGACCAUUACUGACGCUGAGGCGCGAAAGCUAGAGGAGCAAACGGG
RNAcentral lists this ribosomal RNA (253 nucleotides) under uncultured bacterium. Its description in RNAcentral is "partial 16S ribosomal RNA". It matches the Rfam family "Bacterial small subunit ribosomal RNA", at positions 524 to 776 of the family's 1533-position model. The record is from RNAcentral.